CCCUUAGAUGUUCUGGGCUGCACGCGCGCUACACUGAUGCAUCCAACAAGUUUUUUCCUUGUUCGAGAGGACUAGGUAAUCUUAUGAGAAUGCAUCGUGAUGGGGAUAGAUUAUUGCAAUUAUUAAACUUCAACGAGGAAUUCCUAGUAAGCGCGAGUCAUCAGCUCGUGCUGAUUACGUCCCUGCCCUUUGUACACACCGCCCGUCGCUGCAACUGAUUGGGUGACCUGGUGAACAUCUUGGACCGGCCCACUCAAUUUCGAGAGGACUGGAAAAGGCCGUAAAUCAGGUACAUCUAGAAAUUGCAAAAGUCGUAACA
This 319-nucleotide ribosomal RNA is filed under the name uncultured eukaryote. Its description in RNAcentral is "partial 18S ribosomal RNA". It matches the Rfam family "Eukaryotic small subunit ribosomal RNA", at positions 1470 to 1796 of the family's 1831-position model. The record is from RNAcentral.